GCGUAGUCGAUGGGAAACAGGUUAAUAUUCCUGUACUUGGUGUUACUGCGAAGGGGGGACGGAGAAGGCUAUGUUGGCCGGGCGACGGUUGUCCCGGUUUAAGCGUGUAGGCUGGUUUUCCAGGCAAAUCCGGAAAAUCAAGGCUGAGGCGUGAUGACGAGGCACUACGGUGCUGAAGCAACAAAUGCCCUGCUUCCAGGAAAAGCCUCUAAGCAUCAGGUAACAUCAAAUCGUACCCCAAACCGACACAGGUGGUCAGGUAGAGAAUACCAAGGCGCUUGAGAGAACUCGGGUGAAGGAACUAGGCAAAAUGGUGCCGUAACUUCGGGAGAAGGCACGCUGAUAUGUAGGUGAAGUCCCUCGCGGAUGGAGCUGAAAUCAGUCGAAGAUACCAGCUGGCUGCAACUGUUUAUUAAAAACACAGCACUGUGCAAACACGAAAGUGGACGUAUACGGUGUGACGCCUGCCCGGUGCCGGAAGGUUAAUUGAUGGGGUCAGCGCAAGCGAAGCUCUUGAUCGAAGCCCCGGUAAACGGCGGCCGUAACUAUAACGGUCCUAAGGUAGCGAAAUUCCUUGUCGGGUAAGUUCCGACCUGCACGAAUGGCGUAAUGAUGGCCAGGCUGUCUCCACCCGAGACUCAGUGAAAUUGAACUCGCUGUGAAGAUGCAGUGUACCCGCGGCAAGACGGAAAGACCCCGUGAACCUUUACUAUAGCUUGACACUGAACAUUGAGCCUUGAUGUGUAGGAUAGGUGGGAGGCUUAGAAGUGUGGACGCCAGUCUGCAUGGAGCCGACCUUGAAAUACCACCCUUUAAUGUUUGAUGUUCUAACGUUGACCCGUAAUCCGGGUUGCGGACAGUGUCUGGUGGGUAGUUUGACUGGGGCGGUCUCCUCCUAAAGAGUAACGGAGGAGCACGAAGGUUGGCUAAUCCUGGUCGGACAUCAGGAGGUUAGUGCAAUGGCAUAAGCCAGCUUGACUGCGAGCGUGACGGCGCGAGCAGGUGCGAAAGCAGGUCAUAGUGAUCCGGUGGUUCUGAAUGGAAGGGCCAUCGCUCAACGGAUAAAAGGUACUCCGGGGAUAACAGGCUGAUACCGCCCAAGAGUUCAUAUCGACGGCGGUGUUUGGCACCUCGAUGUCGGCUCAUCACAUCCUGGGGCUGAAGUAGGUCCCAAGGGUAUGGCUGUUCGCCAUUUAAAGUGGUACGCGAGCUGGGUUUAGAACGUCGUGAGACAGUUCGGUCCCUAUCUGCCGUGGGCGCUGGAGAACUGAGGGGGGCUGCUCCUAGUACGAGAGGACCGGAGUGGACGCAUCACUGGUGUUCGGGUUGUCAUGCCAAUGGCACUGCCCGGUAGCUAAAUGCGGAAGAGAUAAGUGCUGAAAGCAUCUAAGCACGAAACUUGCC
Molecule: ribosomal RNA, 1404 nt
Filed under: Escherichia coli
Lineage: Bacteria; Pseudomonadati; Pseudomonadota; Gammaproteobacteria; Enterobacterales; Enterobacteriaceae
Description: partial 23S ribosomal RNA
Rfam family: Bacterial large subunit ribosomal RNA
Source: RNAcentral